RNAcentral lists this unclassified non-coding RNA (329 nucleotides) under soil metagenome. RNAcentral describes it as "partial contains 5.8S ribosomal RNA, internal transcribed spacer 2, and large subunit ribosomal RNA". The stretch from base 1 to 120 matches the Rfam family "5.8S ribosomal RNA", at positions 35 to 154 of the family's 154-position model. The record is from RNAcentral.
GAUGAAGAACGUAUCGAAAUGCGAUAAGUAGUGUGAAUUGCAGAAUUCAGUGAAUCAUCGAAUCUUUGAACGCACAUUGCGCCCCUUGGUAUCCCGAGGGGCAUGCCUGUUCGAGCGUCAUUUCACCACUCAAGCCUGGCUUGGUGUUGGGCGACGUCCCCUUUGGGGACGCGCCUCGAAACGCUCGGCGGCGUGGCACCGGCUUUAAGCGUAGCAGAAUCUUUCGCUUUGGAAGUCGGGGCCCCGUCUGCCGGAAGACCUACUCGCAAGGUUGACCUCGGAUCAGGCAGGGAUACCCGCUGAACUUAUGCAUAUCAAUAAGCGGAGGA